UCUUGGAUUCCAGAUGUGUGGGCAAAAUUAACAUGCACUGCCAUUCGGAGAAGUACCCGCCCCUUGAAAGAAAAAAAAAAUUUUUUUUUAAGCCCUCUAAAUAUUCAUUACUCUAUUGUCUCCUCUGAAGCCACAUAAGCCCUAGCCUUUCUUCCCUUUUCGAGUCAGUCUUUUGGAGAGGCUUAGAUCUUCGCAGACUCCUUUUGCUUGACUCAGCCAAAAUAAAGCUUGCUGAAGAUAAAGUUUGCUUUUUGCAUGUAUUCUGACCCUUUGUGUCAGAUUGGCAAUUGGUAACACUCCUAACAAGCAGCCGCUGGGGAUUCUGUUUGUGACCAGAAGUUGUCCCCGGGCCCGAGCUCCCUUGCAGUGCCACUGGUCCCCAACCGUGCCAAAGAGGUGAAUCUUAUGUGUGACCGGGGCUGUCUGGGAGAGUGAGGCUGCCAAGAUGACCUCCAUAUCCUGGCUGAGAUGUUGAGACUGCAAGAUUAUCUCCGACGUCUCUGUGUCUUAUGUAUAAUUUAUGUGUGAUGCAUAGAAAGUAAUUGGUAGGAAAAAAAAAUUUUACAGCCCUGAAAAAUGCCAGGCAGCUUUCCUAACUGCUGCCUUGCAGGCUAAAGAGCGUUCCCCAAAAGAACAAGAAAAGGAAGACCAAGCCACAGGAGCAGAGAAAGCCCCACACCCCUUUGGAAAGAGACCAGUGCAGCUGGUAUACAGGAAAAAAAAAAAAGAUAAUUUUGUCUUAAAAGAAAAGCAGCAGUUUUAGAACAGCAAAAGAGACAAAUUGUUAUCUUUUGCCUUUCAAAAUGCCUAGGUGCACUUAAACAUAUAUAAAUGAAUUGGGAUGACUCCCUCAGGCCCCCAGUCUCUCUAAGAAUUGAUGGAUUCAUUCACAAAAUUGCUAAAGAGCUUUGGUACUUACUGGGUAAAUAGCCUUUCAAAAUGCCCCCAUCAAUUUAAACAUAUGUAAAUAACCUAAUCUUGUCCUCUACCUACAGUUAAAAGGCAGGUAGGGCGGGGCAAAAUCAGGCCUUCUCGGCCCCCAGCCCUAGUCUCCAGGGAGUAUAGCUCCAAGGAACCUUUUGAAAGACUCUUCAGCUAGGUGUGGACCCUUUUAAGACAAAAGAUAAAGAGAAUUGCUGUUUUAGUAUGGUUAUCAGAAACUGGGUGGAUCCCAAUCACAAAAAAAGAAGAGAAAUUACUUGAUAAUGGUCAAAAGUUUUAUCUGUCUGAGUAAAGUUUAAUGGUUUAAUUUAUGAGAUUUUAAAGAGCUUUCACUGAGUUAAAGAAUUAACCUCUUUGGCUUCAAAGACAAAGGUUCCAUCUGUCGUGAGAAUAAGAUUAUUGAGUCAGAAACCAAGCCACAUGGCUUUAGGGAAAAAGAAAAAAACUAAGGUUUUUAUUUUAAUAUCUUUGGUUAAAUAACAAUUGUUUCUUGAUAACUUGUAGGGGGAAAAACAUCUCAAAGUUUAGUAAAGCAAAAAUAAAGUGUUAUUCAGCGUAUAUUCAAAAAGACAAAAGUUGAGAAGCGGACAAACAUGUUGCCAGAGCUAUGUCUGCCCGAGUCCAAAGAGUAUUACAGAACCGACAAAAGUGGGGAAAUGGACAAGCAUGUUGCCACAGCCAUGUCUGCCCUAGUCCAAGGUACAUUACAGAAUAAACAAGAAUGGGAAAAUGGACAAGCAUGCUGCCAGACAUGUCUGUCUGAGUCCAGAGAAUAUUACAUAAUAAACGAGAAUGGGAAAACCGACAAGUAUGCUGCCACAGCCACGUCUAGUCCGAGUCCAAGGAAGGUUGCAGAAUCAUGGGUAUAUAUUAACAUUACAAAUGGGCAAAGCCAUUUGAAAGCUUCGCUUUUUCAAAGAUUGGCUAUAAACUGUCACCAUACAUUUUGAAUUGUCUUUCCUAAAGAUCAUUGGUACAGGUUUCAGUAAUGAGUCAGGAGGGUCUUCACUGGUCCAACAAAUUUCUAUUCACUAAAUGUUAAUAGAAAAGAUAAGAGUGGAAAGUCUUUUGUGUUCUGGCUUCUGUGAAAGUUUCCCUAAAAGAUAUUUUCCAAGAUUAUUCUAUUGUCUUUAUACCUCCGGGCCCAGCUGCUGUGUCCUUGUGAGUCCAGCUGGAUCACAUUCUGUAUGCUCAAGGAUAGGGUAUAAUAACUGCAGUACUAUUUCCUAAAUCACUUGUGAUAAACUUCUGACAAGUUUGAAAAGCAAGAAAAUUUUUUAUAAAAGAAAGUGCUAAAAAAAAAGGUUUAUUUAACAUGGUGUAAAUUACCUGGAACAUGUUGUUAAAAUCAAGAGAAGUGCCUGAUUCUCUCUGGGUUAAAAUUUCUAUGUUAGUAUUCCCUCUUGUGUUUUGCCUCACAUUACACAGCAAAUGAUUGCUGACAUGGUUGAAACUUUAUUUUUAGAAUCUAGCAACAUCAAAGCCAAUGGAUUAGUUGAAGAAUUACUAUUCAGGUAUAUAGAGGCUUGAUAAUCUUAGAAUGUUCUUGAUAUAUCCUGACUACAUGGCAUUAUAGCUCAAGAUUAUUAUGUGUUACAUCUGAAGUUCUUUAAAAAUAUGGUUAAUGGUUAUUAUUGAAAAUAUUUUCAUCUAAAGUUUUUUUUUUUUAACUGAUUUUAUUGGCCUUUGCGUUGUAAUUGAUUUCUAUCAGGUCUUUCAUCGUUAAGAAUUAUGUUUAUAAUUAAUCAUGACCAUAUUAAGUUUUGUCAUCUACAGAUAAGUUUUUACUUUACUGAUUUCCUGAAAACAUUUGACCAGAAUAUCUCAACAAAAAAGAUGGACUAUGUUGGACUUAUGAAAAAGACUGUGACUAGACUCAAUCAAGAUUUCCAGAACUCCCAUGCAAAAGUUGAUGGUUUCACAAACUGCAGUCAAUCCAGAAUCGCUUGGAACAAAAAUUAACUACAUAAGACUGAGUAAACGAAAAGAUACUAUGGGUUUUAUGUAAAAAUAUUGUUGAUGUUUUAAAAUCUUUCUUUCUGAAAAUAAGGAAUGCUUAACCAUUUUCCUUCUGCUACCAGAUUAAGGUCUGUGCCCUGGAACAGUCGAGCAAUGAAAGGUACUCUAAGUCAGAAAGAGCGAGAAAGUUUUUUAAGAGAUGUGUAUAUCACCCGAGACCUGGCAGAGAUGUGAACUGUCUCUGUAGAGUCUCAGGGAGCAAUUUUACAUUAGAGCUUGUGUGGGGUUUUAUAGGUGUUAAAAGUGUCUUUGUAGCCCACAGAUGGCUGAAAGAGUUUUUCAUUACAGAAUGGUGAUAAAAGACUCUGUCGACUGAAGAGACAUGGGCCAGAACAUCUCUUUAUAGGGCUAAAGACAAGCAUAUCAGACACCUGGGCUCUAAUAUCCAUGUGGGGGGUUGUAAGUCACAGGUAGAUAGAGCAAAAUAAAGUUGUUUACAUCAAAUUAAAAUGAAGAACAAAGUCAUUAACAGAGAUAUGUGAAAGAAAAGACAGGAAAAAAAAGAUAGAAAAACUUAACAUGUUUAUCAUGGCCAUAGUUAUGUCAACCUCAGUCGCUCAUUUUGAAAAAGAGAAAACAUACUGGAGAGUAUUAGAGACACACCCCCUUUUUCUAAAUUAUCUAACUGGUGGGUUUAAAUAUUAUAACUCUUGAAUUAAAAGUUCCUGUUGAUAAAGUUAUAAAUUUCAUAACCAAAAAAGUAUCUGAAAUUUGAGCUAUGAUUAUACAAAUUAGAAAAACAUUAGAUUUCGUAUUAGUUCUCUGGAAACAGUUCUGCGCCUUAAUAGAUAAAUGUUACAGUCUUAGGUUUAGCAGAAUGUAGUUGUGGCUGAGGCACAUGAAGAACAGUUACUGACGCUGUUUAUGCACAAGCGAACAUCUCAGAAGAUUUGUUUCCUUGGUUCAGAGAUCUUAGGGUCAUGGUUUCGUUGGUUAUAUCAGACAAUUAGCCUACUGCUAUUGUUAGUGUUUCUAUUUUAUCUUCUGAUUUGCUCUGUGAUGCCUGAGAUCUUAAAAAACCAGAUAGUACCCAAUUACCAUUUACUGAACAUUUUUGAUCAAAAGAUUCUAUAACAAAGAUCAUAAUCCAAAAGAGGGAACCAUAAAAGAGUUAUAAUUCUCCUAGAAUCCAGAUUUCUGGCUUUCAUAGAGGGUGGGACAACCCACAAAGGCCAUUGCCUUUGGGUGUCUUUUUGAACCUUGAGCUUUAAAGAAAAACUGGUUCCUAAAGCCACUUUGAGACAGUUGUCCAGAUAAACUAACAAGACCAUUUUGCUCUGGGCAUUGUGCUUUUUUUUUUUUUGAAGAAUUCAAUCUAUUUUGAGAAACUGACUCCAAAGAUUAGACUGAGAGUUACGUUUAGGGUAAGUCAGUAAUCAGUUUAAUCAGUCCUCUAGACAACGUUGUAUAAAAUACCUGUCUAAUGUUUGCAAUCAAACUGUCACCCUCUUGCUAUGCAGAAAAUUAGGUAUCUAAAAGAAACCAGGCUCUCGGAAGAGAUCGACCUCAUGGCUCAGACUCCAUUCUGUCUUAGGUUUCACUUCUGUUCUAAAAAAGUGACCCAUGACUGUCAAUAGGUAAACCAAGGAGGGGCAGCUUGCCCUUGAGAAGAACACUUAGUAGUACGUUUUAAGCAAAUUAACUAGAAACUUCCACCAAGAAAAGUCUAUCUUGUAUUAUCUUGCUAAUCACUUAUUCUUUAAUAGAAACUUGUUUGUCACAUGUAAAUUUUCUAUACCUUCUGUUUUCUCUAGACAAACUUCUUGAGCUUUAUAAAUAUGUUUUUAUGUGGUAGACCGAACUAUACUAAUUUAAAUGAUUCCUUUCUAACUAAUGGUGAAUUUACAUGGACAAUCUCUUGUUUAGAUUCCUGGCAAAUGAGUGGGCAAUGCACUUUGAGAGCUUUAGGAUUAUCUUUAGAUAUUCAUAGUAAAUACUAGAAAGGUAAUGUUAAUUUGUUAUCCAAGAAAGCCCAUUCGUCCGACACUCAGGGUAUGGUUUGGUAACUUUAAUUCCUACUUAUGGUAUAUUUGAAUUGCAGGAAUCUUUAAGAAAUGUAUCAAUCACUAUGGGACAAAUAGCAAAGUUGCUAGUGGGAUGGAAACACAGUGAUUUCUGACCUCAUUUAGCCAAGGUGACGUGAGAUAACAAAAUAGCCUUAAAUUUUUAUAUAUUGGUCCAAGAAAAUGUGAUAGGUGCUGUGGCAAAUACCUGUUGUUACAUUUAGAUGAAUAACACAAGAGAAGAACAGGAUAUACAAAUAGAAUUAGACAGCAAGUUACUUGGUACACACUACAACACCCUUACAAACACCAGAUUGAUCUGCACUACUACAAGUAAUAUUCUCAGCCUACAUCCUGAUAGUAUUUAAAAAAAAUUUUUUUUUAAUUUUUAUUUUAUUUAUUUAUUUAUUUUUAGGCAUAAUAAAACUUCUAUUGUCUUACACACCUAAAAGACAAAAGAAGGUCUCGGGCUAAAAUGUUGAUGUACAUUGAGUUUGCUCACUUGGGCAAUGCGAUUGAUGAGAACAUUGCUCUUAAGAUCCUGGUGAAGAACCAGAUGGUAUCUGGUGGAAAACCAGCACCGUGAGUUUAAAUAACCUGCCAUGGUCGCCAUCUAGGAACUCAACGAAGUCCAGGCUCCACAUGCGCGGAAGAACAAAGAGUGACCACUGUUUAACCUUCCAUAGCCCUCCGAAGAUGGUGAUGUAGUGCCAAAGAUCAGUGCACUUGCACUAUAUCUCAUAAUAAGUGAUGCCAAGGGCUGCUGAGAGGACUGUCUUGAAUAUCAGCAGAUUUCCUCUUGGAUUCCACAUGCGAGGGCAACCUAAUUAACAUGCACUGCCGUUCUGAGAAGUACCCCCCACUUGAAAGAAGCCCACUAAAUAUUCACUACUCUGUUGUCUCCACCGAACCCACAUAAGCCCUAGCCUUUCUUCCCUUUUCCAGUAAGUCUUUUGGAGAGGCUUAGAUCCUCGCUGACUCCUUUUGCUUGACUCAAGCAAAAUAAAGCUUGUUGAAGAUAAAGUUUGUCUUUUGCAUGUAUUCUUAUUCGGGAAAAGACAAGGACCCUUUCUGUCAGUUUGGCAAUUGGUAACACAAUUAACUGUUCCCAAGAACCUAGCUUUUUAUUUUUAUGGGUAGUUGAUAUCAUCAGCUUUUUCUUUUAGUCCAAUAGGGAUUUAUUUGUCUCAGGCACUGCAGCCAAGAUUUUUCUCAGCCCUGGGAGAGAACUUCUUUUUAAAAUCUUAACACCCUGCCCAGAGUGUUCUCUGUAUUGUGAUUCAAAUCCCAGUCUAGACUGAAAAUCUGUUCUCCCCAUGCAUCUCUCUUUUUUUUUUCCAGCCCAAUCAAUAAAUCCUCAGGAGUCUCUAUAAAUAUGUUUUAAUUCACCUUGAAAAAAUUUUUUUCAACAAUUACUUUCUGUGCAUUACACAUAAGACACAGACAGAGGCGAUAGAUAU
Molecule: long non-coding RNA, 6424 nt
Organism: Loxodonta africana (African savanna elephant)
Lineage: Eukaryota; Metazoa; Chordata; Mammalia; Proboscidea; Elephantidae
Exons: 3
Source: RefSeq, a predicted model, not a curated record